RNAcentral lists this long non-coding RNA (508 nucleotides) under Anser brachyrhynchus (Pink-footed goose). RNAcentral's name for it is "lncRNA (ENSABRG00000007783.1)". Lineage: Eukaryota; Metazoa; Chordata; Aves; Anseriformes; Anatidae. The record is from RNAcentral.
AGGGAAGCUGUGAUGGCUAGACCAAAGUUCUUGUAUGGCUCAAACCUCUGCAGUGCAAAUACCUUGGGAAUACCUGACAGACUGCAAUUUACUUCAGAUCUUCUUGGGACUGUGAGAAGAUGGACUAAGGGCUGGAGUGGUAAUCUGGAUUCACCUUGUUACCAGAGCACUGCAUGAAGAUGCCUUUUGAGGUAUCUCUGUGUAUGUUGAGAGUUAAUGACAAGACCACCAUCUACAGAUAAUCACGCUAAUUCCACUGCGAUGCUGAAGCUCUUUCUUAAGGCAAGGUGGGCUGUGGUGUCCAUAGCCCAGCCUCAUCUAUCUGACACUGAAGACUCAUAUAGUAUCAUACUCAUGGUAUCUGCUCUGGGCAUUCACCCACGGAUGGAGCACAUCCCACUGGAGGGUUUACCUUGCAUGAGAGCUGGAAAAGAGGAAGCAGGAAAAUAGCCACAAGCCAGGCUGUUCACUGCAAGAAAGCAAUCUGAGCAAGCACAUUCAGCUUUCA